Molecule: unclassified non-coding RNA, 343 nt
Filed under: Hevea brasiliensis (rubber tree)
Lineage: Eukaryota; Viridiplantae; Streptophyta; Magnoliopsida; Malpighiales; Euphorbiaceae
Source: RNAcentral
AAACAUCACAAUUUGAUUCAUCUAUUUUCCUCAUUUUACAGAGAUGAAAUUAGAACUAUACUUCACCUGAAGUAAAGCUUCCAGACUUCUCGAACAUUCGAGGAACCAUCAGUAACCUCGGAAACGAGAGAAGCUGCUAGAACACCGUCUUUCUCCACAAUCGAAAUAAAUCGCCUUGAUCCACCACCGACACCAAAAUAAUGCUUCUUUGCAGCUAGAUAUAAAAUUCCAUGAGGACUACAUAAGCACUUUUUAAUAAGUUUGUACAGACUCGGUAGAGUAGAAAUUGAGUAAACUGUCUCUGCCAUGAGAAUUAUAUCAUAACCAGCAGCCUGAUCAACUG